UACGGAGGAUGCAAGCGUUAUCCGGAAUGAUUGGGCGUAAAGCGUCCGCAGGUGGCUAUGUAAGUCUGCUGUUAAAGAGUGAGGCUCAACCUCAUAAGAGCAGUGGAAACUACAUGGCUAGAGUGCGUUCGGGGCAGAGGGAAUUCCUGGUGUAGCGGUGAAAUGCGUAGAUAUCAGGAGGAACACCUGUGGCGAAAGCGAGUUACUGGUUCAUUACUGACACUGAGGAACGAAAGCUAGGGUAGCAAAAGGG
This 253-nucleotide ribosomal RNA is filed under the name uncultured bacterium. RNAcentral describes it as "partial 16S ribosomal RNA". It matches the Rfam family "Bacterial small subunit ribosomal RNA", at positions 524 to 776 of the family's 1533-position model. The record is from RNAcentral.